UGACGUUACAGGACGUUCCACGGAGCAU
Molecule: small RNA, 28 nt
Filed under: Bombyx mori (domestic silkworm)
Lineage: Eukaryota; Metazoa; Arthropoda; Insecta; Lepidoptera; Bombycidae
Description: piRNA piR-bmo-1375634
Source: RNAcentral